RNAcentral lists this ribosomal RNA (748 nucleotides) under uncultured bacterium. Its description in RNAcentral is "bacterial SSU rRNA". It matches the Rfam family "Bacterial small subunit ribosomal RNA", at positions 28 to 776 of the family's 1533-position model. The record is from RNAcentral.
AUUGAACGCUGGCGGCAGGCUUAACACAUGCAAGUCGAACGACGAAACCUAGCUUGCUAGGUGGAAUAGUGGCGGACGGGUGAGUAACACUUAGGAAUCUACCUAAUAGCGGGGGAUAGCCCGGGGAAACUCGGAAUAAUACCGCAUAUUUUCUACGGAAGAAAGGGGGCAGAAUACUGCUCUCACUAUUAGAUGAGCCUAAGCAGGAUUAGCCAGAUGGUGGGGUAACGGCCUACCAUAGCGACGAUCUUUAGCUGGUCUGAGAGGAUGAUCAGCCACACUGGGACUGAGACACGGCCCAGACUCCUACGGGAGGCAGCAGUGGGGAAUAUUGGACAAUGGGGGGAACCCUGAUCCAGCCAUGCCGCGUGUGUGAAGAAGGCCUUUUGGUUGCAAAGCACUUUAAGCAGUGAAGAAGACCUAUUGGUUAAUACCCAAUAGCGAUGACAUUAACUGCAGAAUAAGCACCGGCUAACUCUGUGCCAGCAGCCGCGGUAAUACAGAGGGUGCAAGCGUUAAUCGGAAUUACUGGGCGUAAAGCGAACGUAGGUGGUUAAAUAAGUCAGAUGUGAAAUCCCCGAGCUUAACUUGGGAACUGCAUCUGAAACUGUAUAACUAGAGUAGGUGAGAGGAAAGUAGAAUUCCAGGUGUAGCGGUGUGCGUAGAGAUCUGGAGGAAUACCGAUGGCGAAGGCAGCUUUCUGGCAUCAUACUGACACUGAGGUUCGAAAGCGUGGGUAGCAAACAGG